AGCAGCCGCGGUAAUUCCAGCUCCAAUAGCGUAUAUUAAAGUUGUUGCAGUUAAAAAGCACGUAGUUGAAUUUCGGGAUUGACACAUCGGUCGUGCCUUAAGGGGUAUGAACUGGUGUAGUCAAUUUCUCACCUUCUGGAGAACCGCAAUGCCCUUAAUUGGGUGUCGCGGGGAACCAGGACCUUUACUUUGAAAAAAUUAGAGUGUUUAAAGCAGGCAUUUUGCUUGAAUACAUUAGCAUGGAAUAAUAAAAUAGGACGGCAUGAUUCUAUUUUGUUGGUUUCUAGGAUCACCGUAAUGAUUAAUAGGGAUAGUUGGGGGCAUUAGUAUUCAAUUGUCAGAGGUGAAAUUCUUGGAUUUAUUGAAGACUAACUACUGCGAAAGCAUUUGCCAAGGAUGUUUUCAUUAAUCAAGAACGAAAGUUAGGGGAUCGAAGACGAUCAGAUACCGUCGUAGUCUUAACCAUAAACUAUGCCGACUAGGAAUCAGACGAUGUUAAUUUUUUAAUGACUCGUUUGGCACCCUACG
RNAcentral lists this ribosomal RNA (528 nucleotides) under uncultured Glomeromycotina. RNAcentral's name for it is "SSU rRNA". It matches the Rfam family "Eukaryotic small subunit ribosomal RNA", at positions 569 to 1092 of the family's 1831-position model. The record is from RNAcentral. Lineage: Eukaryota; Fungi; Glomeromycota.